Molecule: ribosomal RNA, 563 nt
Filed under: Cicindela lagunensis
Lineage: Eukaryota; Metazoa; Arthropoda; Insecta; Coleoptera; Carabidae
Description: partial 16S ribosomal RNA
Rfam family: Bacterial large subunit ribosomal RNA
Source: RNAcentral
ACUGUGCAAAGGUAGCAUAAUUAUUAGUUUUUUAAUUGAAAGCUUGUAUGAAGGGUUGGACGAGAUAAAAUCUGUCUUUAUUUAAAUUAUUAUAGAAUUUAACUUUUAAGUCAAAAGGCUUAAAUGUAUGUAAAAGACGAGAAGACCCUAUAGAUCUUUAUUUAACUAAUAUUUUGAUAAUUUAGGAUUAUUUUAGUUUAAAGUUUUAGUUAAAUUUUAUUGGGGUAAUAUAAAGAUUAAAUAAAUUCUUUUUAUUUAUUACAUUGAUUUAUGAAUAUAUGAUCCGAUAUUAUUGAUUAUAAGAUUAAGUUACCUUAGGGAUAACAGCGUAAUUUUUUUGGAGAGCUCAUAUCGAUAAAAAAGUUUGCGACCUCGAUGUUGGAUUAAAAAUUAGCUUGGGUGUAGAAGCUCAAGAUUUUGGUCUGUUCGACCAUUAAAUUUUUACAUGAUCUGAGUUCAGACCGGCGUAAGCCAGGUCGGUUUCUAUCUUUACUUAUCUAAAAUAUUUUAGUACGAAAGGACCAAAUAUUUAAUAUAAUUAUAUUUAUUUUUUGAAUAAUAUU